Long non-coding RNA from Girardinichthys multiradiatus, 1097 nucleotides. RefSeq lists it as uncharacterized. The record is from RefSeq and is a predicted model, not a curated record. The transcript has 2 exons. NCBI's taxonomy places the organism in Eukaryota, Metazoa, Chordata, Actinopteri, Cyprinodontiformes, Goodeidae.
ACUACUGAGCAUAUCUCCAAUGCUGUAAAAAAUCGUUCUCUCUUGCAAGAUUAAAAUAAAGCUGAUUCUGAGUAACAAUCAUCGGUCUCUGUCUUGGUAAAAACAAAUUUUUCUACAACACUGUCAUGGGCUUUAGACGUCCUCAGGUACCCUACUUCCUGGUUCUACAUUUCACCAUCAGAUGCUUAUUCCAAUCAUGACCCCCCCCCCAUACUGUCACAUGCAUAAAGUGUGUUUAUAGCUUAAGACGCACUAGUGUUGUGUAUAGCAUGUGUGUACUGGGAUGUGUGGCGUCAAAUGUACUUUGAGCUAUGUGAAAAUGUGAAUUUUGCAACAAAUGAUUGCCUGACCAAUUUGAGAUGAAAGUUCAGUGUUUGUUUACAGUCUACGAGGGCCCCAAAGUAGUCAAAUAAAACCUAGCUGAAUUUACCAAAACAUAUGUCAGGCAGUUGGAGAUACUCCCUGUCAGGGUUCUGGGUUUUUGUGUGUGUGUGUGUUCACUUUGUUUUUAGCUUUCAGAUGGUUCCAGAGUUUCUCAGGUGCACGGGGUGACAGGUGCGACUGAUCUGCUGAUUGCCUUGAGGAGUAUUUAAGCAGGAGGCUCCCAGCACUUCGAUGCCAGAGUGUUUGCCUUCAGUGGCUGAAACCUGAACCUUGUUGAGCUUCGUCUUUGGCUCCAGUGAUUUCCUAGACGCUCAGGUUUACCUACGUUUUGUGGAUUACGUUCUGGAUUUCGUGUUUUGGAUUAAGCUGGCAGCUUUCUGGAAAUUCCUGACUCCUGAUCCAAGGCAGAGGCAUACCCUGACCACCCUCCAACGCAAGUACCUGAACAUUGAACUCUCUUAUGAACUCACCAGUAUUCACUUCCCAGCUCGUACUGAAGCAUCUGGACAACAUAGCUUCGCACACCCAGGUUCUGACUCCCUCUACCCCUGGCGACCUGACGGCAUUUACUUAGACACUUUCUUGUUUAGUAUCGUUUUUGUUAACACAGUUCCCUGUUUCACCAGUUCUCUUCCCCUCUCUUUCAGUUGGCGAAUUUACCCAUUCAUGUCCCUGUGUUCACAUACUGUAAAUAAACACUGUUACACUUUCAA